GUCUUUCAGAUUCUAAGCCUAGUGUUGUGACAGAGGCUGGCACUAAAGAAAAAAGUGCCAAGCUGAAGAGUGUGUGAAAUUGAUCAUCUCGAUGGGGGAGGGACCCCAAGGGAUUGGAAUCUGGAGGAGGGGAAGACUCUGACUGGUAGAGGAGUUGAUCUCUCUCAGUCUUGAGAAGCCAAAGACAGAAGGUGGGGAAAAAAGACUUUCUCCUGAGGAUUACCCACUUUUUCCUGCUGGUGACUGGAAAUCCUUACCCCCAACAUUUCCCAAUUGAAGGGACUUUCUGAAGAGAAACCUGAGCAGACUUUAUCUCAGCUUCUGUUGCCCAGAGGCUAAUGUUGCAAAAGCCAAAGGGAGAAGUGAGUUGAAGAGAAGAGAAUAGGAUCAGUCUGAGAAACUACAGAGAAGUUGGGGAAGAUGAGGAGGAAGAAUAAGGAAAGACCUUUCAUGUGGUCAUUGAAGAAAGUUUUUUCUGCAAUCUAAUGGGACUAUAUGAUGUGAAAGCGUCCACAUGCUUUGUCUCUGGAUCCUCUUCAGUCACCUAGACUCUUCUAGUCUCCCAUGUGGAAUGAAUUGGGGGUUCAGAGCCAACAGUCACGUCUGUCUGUUAUCACAGCUACUUUGUGGGGGGACCAACACUGGACCAAAGAUUUCAGGAACUCAUUGGAAGAUAGGAGCAGUUAAAUCAUGAAUGAUCACCUUACCCUUGAACUACAAUGGGUCUGUUUCUGAAUCUCAUUCACUGGAUCACUGGUGAUAAGUAGAAGAUAAAGAUGGAAUCUUUAUUGUAACAUCACAAGGAGGUGGCAUAAAACUGUGUAAAAGUUGCCAAGAAAAACAAACAAAAGAGCCCAGAUUGCUAAUGCAUCUUCUCUUUUGGCCUAUCUAAAGACAGAAGGAGUAGAGGAGCCAAUUGGAUUUGAGUAGGAACAUUCAUGGGUCUUCACCAUAAACUUUAAUGGUUGCAGAAGUUAAAAUGUAUUCCUUUCCAGAAAGACACAAUUCAUCUGGUGUGUCAACACUGGUACCUUUGGCAUGGAGAGGAAGAAGACAUAGCAUAUGGCGUACAGCAAGAUGGAGUGCUAUCUCUCUCCCACUUCCUCUAUCCGGAAAACCUUUUGUUAUAAUGAAGAAUAAAAGAACAAGGAGAAAAAAGUACUUCACGCAAAACCAAAAAAUGCACUAUCUUUGGCUGAGAGUAUUUGGAUUAUUUCAUAACCACAGUACUUUACCUCUUCAGUGU
Molecule: long non-coding RNA, 1246 nt
Filed under: Monodelphis domestica (gray short-tailed opossum)
Lineage: Eukaryota; Metazoa; Chordata; Mammalia; Didelphimorphia; Didelphidae
Description: lncRNA (ENSMODG00000035512.2)
Source: RNAcentral